Molecule: small nuclear RNA, 141 nt
Organism: Culicoides brevitarsis
Lineage: Eukaryota; Metazoa; Arthropoda; Insecta; Diptera; Ceratopogonidae
Product: U4 spliceosomal RNA
Exons: 1
Source: RefSeq, a predicted model, not a curated record
AGCUUUGCGCAGAGGCGAUAUCGUACACAAUGAGGUUUAUCCGAGUGGCGAUUAUUGCUAGUUGAAAACUAACACCAAUUACCCGCCAUGGGGACGUGAAAUACCGUCCACUACGGCAAUUUUUGAUCGCCCCUAACCGGG